GAUGAACGCUGGCGGCGUGCCUAAUACAUGCAAGUCGAGCGAACAGAUGAGGAGCUUGCUCCUCUGACGUUAGCGGCGGACGGGUGAGUAACACGUGGAUAACCUACCUAUAAGACUGGGAUAACUACGGGAAACCGGAGCUAAUACCGGAUAAUAUAUUGAACCGCAUGGUUCAAUAGUGAAAGACGGUUUUGCUGCCACUUAUAGAUGGAUCCGCGCCGCACUAGCUAGUUGGUAAGGUAACGGCUUACCAAGGCAACGAUGCGUAGCCGACCUGAGAGGGUGAUCGGCCACACUGGAACUGAGACACGGUCCAGACUCCUACGGGAGGCAGCAGUAGGGAAUCUUCCGCAAUGGGCGAAAGCCUGACGGAGCAACGCCGCGUGAGUGAUGAAGGUCUUCGGAUCGUAAAACUCUGUUAUUAGGGAAGAACAAAUGUGUAAGUGACUAUGCACGUCUUGACGGUACCUAAUCAGAAGGCCACGGCUAACUACGUG
This 497-nucleotide ribosomal RNA is filed under the name uncultured bacterium. RNAcentral's name for it is "partial 16S ribosomal RNA". It matches the Rfam family "Bacterial small subunit ribosomal RNA", at positions 28 to 507 of the family's 1533-position model. The record is from RNAcentral.